Molecule: ribosomal RNA, 450 nt
Filed under: uncultured bacterium
Lineage: Bacteria
Description: partial 16S ribosomal RNA
Rfam family: Bacterial small subunit ribosomal RNA
Source: RNAcentral
CCUACGGGAGGCUGCAGUAAGGAAUAUUGGUCAAUGGACGAAAGUCUGAACCAGCCAUGCCGCGUGGAGGAUGAAGGUCCUCUGGAUUGUAAACUUCUUUUAUAUGGGACGAAACAAGGGUUUUCUAACUCGUCUGACGGUACCAUAUGAAUAAGCACCGGCUAACUCCGUGCCAGCAGCCGCGGUAAUACGGAGGGUGCAAGCGUUAUCCGGAUUCACUGGGUUUAAGGUGGGUGUAGAUGGGUUGGUAGAAAUCUCCGAGCUUAACUUGGAAACUGCCAUUGAGACUAUCAGUCUUGAAUAUUGUGGAGGGCAGCGGAAUAUGUCAUGUAGCGGUGAAAUGCUUAGAUAUGACAUAGAACACCAAUUGCGAAGGCAGCUGGCUACGCAUAUAUUGACACUGAGGCACGAAAGCGUGGGGAUCAAACAGGAUUAGAUACCCCGGUAGUC